Molecule: ribosomal RNA, 464 nt
Filed under: uncultured bacterium
Lineage: Bacteria
Description: bacterial SSU rRNA
Rfam family: Bacterial small subunit ribosomal RNA
Source: RNAcentral
CCAGACUCCUACGGGAGGCAGCAGUGAGGAAUAUUGGUCAAUGGUCGGGAGACUGAACCAGCCAAGCCGCGUGAGGGAUGAAGGUACAGAGUAUCGUAAACCUCUUUUGCCGGGGAGCAAGGGCGGGGACGUGUCCCGGCCCGGAGAGUACCCGGAGAAAAAGCAUCGGCUAACUCCGUGCCAGCAGCCGCGGUAAUACGGAGGAUGCGAGCGUUAUCCGGAUUUAUUGGGUUUAAAGGGUGCGUAGGCGGAAUAUCAAGUCAGCGGUAAAAAUUCGGGGCUCAACCCCGUCGUGCCGUUGAAACUGAUGUUCUUGAGUGGGCGAGAAGUAUGCGGAAUGCGUGGUGUAGCGGUGAAAUGCAUAGAUAUCACGCAGAACUCCGAUUGCGAAGGCAGCAUACCGGCGCCCAACUGACGCUGAAGCACGAAAGCGUGGGUAUCGAACAGGAUUAGAUACCCCAGUA